GACUUCGUAGCUCAGUUGGUAGAGUAAGUGACUCUUAAUCAUUGGGUCGUGGGUUCGAACCCCACCGGGGUCA
This 73-nucleotide transfer RNA is filed under the name Ancylomarina sp. 16SWW S1-10-2. RNAcentral describes it as "tRNA-Lys". It matches the Rfam family "tRNA". Rfam says of the family: Transfer RNA (tRNA) molecules are approximately 80 nucleotides in length. The record is from RNAcentral. Lineage: Bacteria; Pseudomonadati; Bacteroidota; Bacteroidia; Marinilabiliales; Marinifilaceae.